RNAcentral lists this ribosomal RNA (403 nucleotides) under uncultured bacterium. RNAcentral describes it as "partial 16S ribosomal RNA". It matches the Rfam family "Bacterial small subunit ribosomal RNA", at positions 30 to 526 of the family's 1533-position model. The record is from RNAcentral.
AUUGAACGCUGGCGGCAGGCCUAACACAUGCAAGUCGAGCGCGCGUCGGACGGGUGAGAAAUGUAUGGGGGCUGCCCGAUAGAGGGGGGUAACUAUUGGAAACGGUAGCUAAUAUCCCAUACUCUCGCUAUAUCCAUAUGGGAUUAGCUAGUAGGUGAGGUAAUGUCUCACCUAGGCGACGAUCCCUAGCUGGUCUGAGAGGAUGAACAGCCACACUGGGACUGAGACACGGCCCAGACUCCUACGGAGGCAGCAGUGGGGAAUAUUGCACAAUGGGCGCAAGCCUGAUGCAGCCAUGCCGCGUGUAUGAAGAAGGCCCUAGGGUUGUAAAGUACUUUCAGUCGGGAGGCGUUACCGACAGAAGAAGCACCGGCUAACUCCGUGCCAGCCGCCGCGGUAAUUC